RNAcentral lists this ribosomal RNA (379 nucleotides) under uncultured bacterium. RNAcentral describes it as "partial 16S ribosomal RNA". It matches the Rfam family "Bacterial small subunit ribosomal RNA", at positions 338 to 734 of the family's 1533-position model. The record is from RNAcentral.
CCUACGGGAGGCUGCAGUGGGGGAUAUUGCACAAUGGGGGAAACCCUGAUGCAGCGACGCCGCGUGUGGGAAGACGGUCCUCUGGAUUGUAAACCACUGUCCCCAGGGACGAAGAUGACGGUACCCGGGGAGGAAGCUCCGGCUAACUACGGGCCAGCAGCGGCGGUAAUACGUAGGGAGAACUCGUUGUCGGGAAUUACUGGGUGUAAAGGGAGCGUAGGCGGGAUGGCAAGUUGAGGGUAAAGUCUACCGGCUCAACUGGUAGUCGCACUCGAAACUGCUAUUCUUGAGUGAAGGAGAGGCAGGCGGAAUUCCUAGUGUAGCGGUGAAAUGCGUAGAUAUUAGGAGGAACACCAGUGGCGAAGGCGGCCUGCUGGGC